RNAcentral lists this ribosomal RNA (1334 nucleotides) under Diaporthe phaseolorum. RNAcentral's name for it is "SSU rRNA". It matches the Rfam family "Eukaryotic small subunit ribosomal RNA", at positions 59 to 1426 of the family's 1831-position model. Lineage: Eukaryota; Fungi; Ascomycota; Sordariomycetes; Diaporthales; Diaporthaceae. The record is from RNAcentral.
CUAAGUUUAGGCACCUAAACGGCGAAACUGCGAAUGGCUCAUUAAAUCAGUUAUCGUAUAUUUGAUAGUACCUACUACAUGGAUAACCGUGGUAAUUCUAGAGCUAAUACAUGCUUAAAAUCCCGACUUCGGAAGGGAUGUAUUUAUUAGAUUAAAAACCAAUGCCCUUCGGGGCUCACUGGUGAUUCAUAAUAACUUCUCGAAUCGCAUGGCCUUGUGCCGGCGAUGGUUCAUUCAAAUUUCUGCCCUAUCAACUUUCGACGGCUGGGUCUUGGCCAGCCGUGGUUACAACGGGUAACGGAGGGUUAGGGCUUGACCCCGGAGAAGGAGCCUGAGAAACGGCUACUACAUCCAAGGAAGGCAGCAGGCGCGCAAAUUACCCAAUCCCGACUCGGGGAGGUAGUGACAAUAAAUACUGAUACAGGGCUCUUUUGGGUCUUGUAAUUGGAAUGAGUACAAUUUAAAUCCCUUAACGAGGAACAAUUGGAGGGCAAGUCUGGUGCCAGCAGCCGCGGUAAUUCCAGCUCCAAUAGCGUAUAUUAAAGUUGUUGCAGUUAAAAAGCUCGUAGUUGAACCUUGGGCCUGGCUGGCCGGUCUGCCUCACCGCAUGCACUGGUCCGGCCGGGCCUUUCCCUCUGGGGAGCCGCAUGCCCUUCACUGGGUGUGUCGGGGAACCAGGACUUUUACUGUGAAAAAAUUAGAGUGUUCAAAGCAGGCAUAUGCUCGAAUACAUUAGCAUGGAAUAAUAGAAUAGGACGUCGCGGUUCUAUUUUGUUGGUUUCUAGGACCGCCGUAAUGAUUAAUAGGGACAGUCGGGGGCAUCAGUAUUCAAUCGUCAGAGGUGAAAUUCUUGGAUCGAUUGAAGACUAACUACUGCGAAAGCAUUUGCCAAGGAUGUUUUCAUUAAUCAGGAACGAAAGUUAGGGGAUCGAAAACGAUCAGAUACCGUUGUAGUCUUAACCAUAAACUAUGCCGACUAGGGAUCGGGCGGUGUUAUUUCUUGACCCGCUCGGCACCUUACACGAAAGUAAAGUUUUUGGGUUCUGGGGGGAGUAUGGUCGCAAGGCUGAAACUUAAAGAAAUUGACGGAAGGGCACCACAAGGGGUGGAGCCUGCGGCUUAAUUUGACUCAACACGGGGAAACUCACCAGGUCCAGACACAACUAGGAUUGACAGAUUGAGAGCUCUUUCUUGAUUUUGUGGGUGGUGGUGCAUGGCCGUUCUUAGUUGGUGGAGUGAUUUGUCUGCUUAAUUGCGAUAACGAACGAGACCUUAACCUGCUAAAUAGCCCGUGCCGCCUAGGCGGCACGCCGGCGUCUUAGAGGGACUAUCGC